RNAcentral lists this ribosomal RNA (377 nucleotides) under uncultured Phycisphaerae bacterium. Its description in RNAcentral is "bacterial SSU rRNA". It matches the Rfam family "Bacterial small subunit ribosomal RNA", at positions 521 to 896 of the family's 1533-position model. Lineage: Bacteria; Pseudomonadati; Planctomycetota; Phycisphaerae. The record is from RNAcentral.
UAAUACGAAGGUGGCGAGCGUUGUUCGGAAUCACUGGGCUUAAAGCGCGCGUAGGCGGAAAUACAAGUGUCUUGUGAAAUCCCUCGGCUUAACCGAGGACGUGCUUGGCAAACUGUAUUUCUUGAGAUAAGUAGGGGUACAUGGAACUCUUGGUGGAGCGGUGGAAUGCGUAGAUAUCAAGAGGAACGCCGAAGGUGAAGACAGUGUACUGGGCUUAUUCUGACGCUGAGGUGCGAAAGCGUGGGUAGCGAACGGGAUUAGAUACCCCGGUAGUCCACGCCGUAAACGAUGUCUACUAGGUUGUGGAGGUUCUGACACCCUCACAGUCGAAGCAAAAGUGUUAAGUAGACCGCCUGGGGAGUACGGUCGCAAGGCUA